RNAcentral lists this ribosomal RNA (253 nucleotides) under uncultured bacterium. RNAcentral describes it as "partial 16S ribosomal RNA". It matches the Rfam family "Bacterial small subunit ribosomal RNA", at positions 524 to 776 of the family's 1533-position model. The record is from RNAcentral.
UACAGAGGGGGCAAGCGUUGUUCGGAAUUACUGGGCGUAAAGGGCGCGUAGGCGGCCUUCUAAGUCGAACGUGAAAUCCCCGGGCUCAACCCGGGAACUGCGUCCGAUACUGGAAGGCUUGAAUCCGGGAGAGGGAUGCGGAAUUCCAGGUGUAGCGGUGAAAUGCGUAGAUAUCGGAAGGAACACCAGUGGCGAAGGCGGCCGUCUGGGCCAAUACUGACACUGAGGCACGAAAGCGUGGGUAGCAAACAGG